Molecule: ribosomal RNA, 408 nt
Filed under: uncultured bacterium
Lineage: Bacteria
Description: partial 16S ribosomal RNA
Rfam family: Bacterial small subunit ribosomal RNA
Source: RNAcentral
AGUGAACGCUGGCGGCGUGCCUAAUACAUGCAAGUCGAACGGCGUGGCGCACGGGUGAGUAAUAUAUAGCUAAUCUGCCCCUUGCUGGAGGACAACCGUUAGAAAUGACUGCUAAUACUCCAUAGCAAGGGAUGAGACUAUAUCGUAUCAGCUAGUCGGUGGGGUAACGGCCUACCGAGGCUAUGACGCGUAACUGGUCUGAGAGGAUGAUCCGUAACAUUGGAACGGAGACAAGGUCCAAACGCCUACGGGAGGCAGAAGUAGGGAAUAUGGCGCAAUGGGGGAAACCCUGACGCAGCAACGCCGCGUGGGGGAUGAAGGCUUUCGGGUUGUAAACCUCGCCUAUCGAACAAGGGGUAGGUGGAGAAGAAGCGCCGGCUAACUACGUGCCAGCAGCCGCGGUAAUAC